Microcebus murinus (gray mouse lemur) is the source of this 1251-nucleotide non-coding RNA. Lineage: Eukaryota; Metazoa; Chordata; Mammalia; Primates; Cheirogaleidae. The record is from RefSeq and is a predicted model, not a curated record.
UUUUUGAAUGUUCAAAAUCUGUGUUUUGGGAAGGGAAGCAGUAUGUAUAUGUGUGCUUUUUUUUUGGCGGGUUGCCAUCAUAACUAGAAUAGAGCCCAUCAGUAAUUACAUAAUGUGAAUAUACCAUGCAUUCCUACUUUGUGAAAGUUCAUGCUGUUUAGUUCCAUUUCUUAAAGAUUGCACAUCAGAGGUUUAAUACCAGUAGAUUUAGAAAAAAAUUACAAAUGUGAAUUCACAAAAUUAUUUUACAUAUUUAAAUGUUCUUGAAUUCAUGUUAGAACUCCACAGUAUUCAUUGUUUUUACCUAAAUAUCAUGAAUUACAUGCUUUUUUAUUUUUUCAGUUUGGAGAGUAAAUUAGUGGCAGCUGCUUUGAAGGGGGAAGGAGGGAGACAGCCAUGUAUAUGGAUGAGUUGCAGUUGCUGAUAGAGUAUUGUGACUCCUCAUGCACAGGCUGAAUUCUAGGAUAAAUUCUCUACUUGUUUGUUGUGGCCUCUACUUUUUAAUUUUUUAUUUUCCCAAUUAGGAUUACUAAUACUUCCAAGAAACCCACCAGAGAAAUUGAUAAGCCUGUCAUUCUGAAGCAUUUUAUUUAUUCUCUGAGAAGACAAGCCUUUUAGUGAAAAAACUUUCUUUUCCAGCUAAGGGAGGAAGGCCCUAUAAUUUUCAAAAGUUGAGUGUCUUGUGCUCCUGGAUGAUUUAAGCUUUUCUCUGUAUUCACCUCAUUCCCAGACAGAUGUUCUCCUCAUGGUGAUAGAGGUGGCUAAACACCAGCUCAGAAAUCCCCAUGGAAAAAAGAUGAUUUUUCUAACAGCUGUCUCAAGGGUCCCAAAGAGGACUGUAGCAGCCCCAGCUUGAGGUACUACCUAUUCCUAACCCAGUCACUGGUUAAGGGGAUGGAAUAUGCUUACUGGCCAAUCCUGAGUUUGUGUGUAUACCUGAUGGCAGAGGGUGAGGUCAGCCCUACCCUAUUACAUGGAAUGAGCUAGAUUAUUAUAGAAGGGGAGAAGGGUGACUCCUAAAGGGAAACUGGACAAAAAUAUGUCUACCAUAGUCUAUGCCAAAAAUGUACAUAUUCUCAGUAGAUUUGUUUAUCCAUUUACUAAGCAAGAAAAGAGUAAGCAUUUUCUCUAAAUGAGAUUUUUACUUUAAAAGUUUUUGUCCAUUACUUCAAUACAUGCGUCCUAGUUUAUAUUUUUAAAACUGUUUCUGCAAAUUGUUCUCUUUUUCACUGAUUUUAAUUCAAACAUUCA